GACGAACGCUGGCGGCGUGCCUAACACAUGCAAGUCGAGCGAUGAAACCCUUCGGGGUGGAUUAGCGGCGGACGGGUGAGUAACACGUGGGUAACCUGCCUCAAAGAGGGGAAUAGCCUUCCGAAAGGAAGAUUAAUACCGCAUAAUAUGUUUUGGUCGCAUGACUAGACAUCAAAGGAGUAAUCCGCUUUGAGAUGGACCCCGCGGCGCAUUAGCUAGUUGGUGAGGUAACGGCUCACCAAGGCGACGAUGCGUAGCCGACCUGAGAGGGUGAUCGGCCACAUUGGAACUGAGACACGGUCCAGACUCCUACGGGAGGCAG
RNAcentral lists this ribosomal RNA (322 nucleotides) under uncultured bacterium. RNAcentral's name for it is "bacterial SSU rRNA". It matches the Rfam family "Bacterial small subunit ribosomal RNA", at positions 28 to 351 of the family's 1533-position model. The record is from RNAcentral.